UACAGAGACUGCAAGCGUUACUCGGAUUCACUGGGCGUAAAGAGCUCGUAGGCGGUCUGUUGCGUCGGCUGUGAAAACCCGGGGCUCAACUCCGGGCCUGCAGCCGAUACGGGCAGACUAGAGUUCGGCAGGGGAGACUGGAAUUCCUGGUGUAGCGGUGAAAUGCGCAGAUAUCAGGAAGAACACCCGUGGCGAAGGCGGCUCUCUGGAACGCAACUGACGCUGAGACGCGAAAGCGUGGGGAGCAAACAGG
Molecule: ribosomal RNA, 253 nt
Filed under: uncultured bacterium
Lineage: Bacteria
Description: partial 16S ribosomal RNA
Rfam family: Bacterial small subunit ribosomal RNA
Source: RNAcentral